Molecule: small RNA, 81 nt
Filed under: Citrobacter amalonaticus
Lineage: Bacteria; Pseudomonadati; Pseudomonadota; Gammaproteobacteria; Enterobacterales; Enterobacteriaceae
Description: partial RtT sRNA
Rfam family: RtT RNA
About the family: This family represents a bacterial cis-regulatory element known as RtT RNA. The exact function of RtT is unknown although it is thought that it may be involved in changing the cellular response in relation to amino acid starvation.
Source: RNAcentral
UCGAACACAGUGAGACAACGGCGCCGCUUGCGGCGACGGCCCGAAGGGCGAGCGAAGCGAGUCAUCCUGCACGACCCACCA